CUCCGCUUGGUGUAGUUGGUUUAUCACAUUCGACUGUAAUAGUUAAAUUCAGACCAUCGAAUGGUCCCUAGUUCGAUUCUGGGAGCGGAGA
This 91-nucleotide transfer RNA is filed under the name Plenodomus lingam JN3. Its description in RNAcentral is "tRNA-Tyr for anticodon GUA". Lineage: Eukaryota; Fungi; Ascomycota; Dothideomycetes; Pleosporales; Leptosphaeriaceae. The record is from RNAcentral.